This 110-nucleotide ribosomal RNA is filed under the name Thalassobaculum fulvum. The record is from RNAcentral. Lineage: Bacteria; Pseudomonadati; Pseudomonadota; Alphaproteobacteria; Rhodospirillales; Thalassobaculaceae.
UGGUGGCCAUAGCGAGGGAGCCGCACCCGAUCCCAUCCCGAACUCGGCCGUGAAAGCCCUCUGCGCCGAUGGUACUGCGUCUUAAGGCGUGGGAGAGUAGGUCGCUGCCA